GUCAGGAUAGCUCAGUUGGUAGAGCAA
This 27-nucleotide transfer RNA is filed under the name Phragmites australis (common reed). RNAcentral's name for it is "partial tRNA-Phe". The record is from RNAcentral. Lineage: Eukaryota; Viridiplantae; Streptophyta; Magnoliopsida; Poales; Poaceae.